GGAUGUGAGGGUGAUCUGCUGCAAUAUCGAUCACCCUACUGAACCUACCAGGGUCGGUUCAGCUGAUCUGCCUGGUUUGGCAGGUAUCCCCUUCCUCCCUCACUGCGCCAUGUGCGGCCCUCUAAUGUUGCACACUCGUCACAGAGGAGGACCAUCCCCAGUAGAAGAGAACCAUUCUUUGGUCAAGGGAAUACAAGUAACUGUGCUCCCCUGCUGCAACCUCCAAACAAGCUUUCA
This 237-nucleotide long non-coding RNA is filed under the name Cervus elaphus hippelaphus. It matches the Rfam family "7SK RNA", at positions 1 to 238 of the family's 331-position model. Rfam says of the family: 7SK was discovered as an abundant small nuclear RNA in the mid-70s but a possible function has only recently been suggested. Two independent studies have found that 7SK RNA binds the CDK9/cyclin T complex (known as elongation factor P-TEFb). P-TEFb activates transcription by phosphorylating the C-terminal domain of RNA polymerase II. Lineage: Eukaryota; Metazoa; Chordata; Mammalia; Artiodactyla; Cervidae. The record is from RNAcentral.